Tupaia belangeri chinensis (Chinese tree shrew) is the source of this 553-nucleotide long non-coding RNA. RefSeq lists it as uncharacterized. The transcript has 3 exons. Lineage: Eukaryota; Metazoa; Chordata; Mammalia; Scandentia; Tupaiidae. The record is from RefSeq and is a predicted model, not a curated record.
AACAUUACAUUAAUCACAACUUCAGAGGUAGUGCCGGCAAGUAGUGAAAGCACUAGGGAGAAAAGUAACAGUCCUAGACUACCCACGCCAAUGACCCCUGGCAAAUCACGUCUCCCCCUGGGCCAGCUCCCUCCCUUGGGAUCAAUGUGCAGCAUGAAGAAGAUCAUCGAUCUUUCAACCCAGGCUCUCAGGCUCCAGGAGUGGAGACACGAGCACAUGGCUUCACCAUCCGUUUAUAACAGAACAGCAAGCACACGUGCCCUAGAGCAAAGUAGAAAGAGAGAUCACUUAUCAUACCAGGAAAAUCUCAGUCUGAAUGAGAAAAGAUAAUUAAGAGACGCCAACAUCAAGAUGACACAGACACUGAAUUACCUGAGAACACAGGCGCUUGCCUGAGAGAGAGCACCUCCAACGGGGCCUAGCUGUGCCACACUCUCUGCUUCACCCAGUUCUCUCCUGUCAGAUUCUGAGCAUGUAGACAACACUUACUUCCUGAUAAAGUUUUGGACAUUCUGGAUGAAAGCGCAGAGCCCGAAGAAAUAGCUGUCUCGCA